GGGGGCGUCGUAUAAUGGUAGUACAACGGUCUCCAAAACCGUUUGCGUAGGCUGUUCUGAAGCCUUAGCGAAAGACAGCAGGGGCGGUAGGAAUCGAACCUACGCAAACGGUUUUGGAGACCGUUGUACUACCAUUAUACGACGCCCCCA
RNAcentral lists this transfer RNA (150 nucleotides) under Candidatus Moraniibacteriota bacterium. RNAcentral describes it as "tRNA-Trp". Lineage: Bacteria; Candidatus Moraniibacteriota. The record is from RNAcentral.